RNAcentral lists this ribosomal RNA (485 nucleotides) under uncultured bacterium. RNAcentral describes it as "SSU rRNA". It matches the Rfam family "Bacterial small subunit ribosomal RNA", at positions 26 to 521 of the family's 1533-position model. The record is from RNAcentral.
AGAACUAACGCUGGCGGCGUGCCUAACACAUGCAAGUCGAGCGGUCACCAAUUUGUUAGCAAUACAGAUGAAGUGAUAGCGGCAGACGGGUGAGUAACACGUAACCAAUCUACCUUACCGUCCGGGAUAACUAGCCGAAAGGUUAGCUAAUACCUGAUACGCCUAUUGAGCGGCAUCGUUUGAUAGUGAAAGCAGCAAUGCGCGGUUUGAGGAGGUUGCGGCCCAUUAGCCAGUUGGCGGGGUAACGGCCCACCAAAGCAACGAUGGGUAGCUGGUCUGAGAGGACGACCAGCCACACUGGGACUGAGACACGGCCCAGACUCCUACGGGAGGCAGCAGUGAGGAAUUUUCCGCAAUGGGCGAAGCCUGACGGAGCGACGCCGCGUGCACGAGGAGGUCUUCGGAUCGUAAAGUGCUGUCGAGGGGGACGAUUAUGACGGUACCCCUGGAGGAAGCCCGGCUAACUACGCGCCAGCAGCCGCGGU